Molecule: transfer RNA, 114 nt
Filed under: Lasiosphaeris hirsuta
Lineage: Eukaryota; Fungi; Ascomycota; Sordariomycetes; Sordariales; Lasiosphaeriaceae
Description: tRNA-Val
Source: RNAcentral
GGUCGCAUGGUGUAGUUGGUUAUCACGUCAGCUUAACAGAAUUAACUUUCGAGCCCUGGUUCGACUGUCGACAAGUUCCGCUGAAGGUCCUCAGUUCAAUCCUGAGUGCGAUCA